This 777-nucleotide ribosomal RNA is filed under the name uncultured Neocallimastigales. Its description in RNAcentral is "partial large subunit ribosomal RNA". It matches the Rfam family "Eukaryotic large subunit ribosomal RNA", at positions 22 to 645 of the family's 3401-position model. Lineage: Eukaryota; Fungi; Neocallimastigomycota; Neocallimastigomycetes; Neocallimastigales. The record is from RNAcentral.
AUAUCAGUCAUGCAUAGCAUAUCAAUAAGCGGAGGAAAAGAAACUAACAAGGAUUCCCUUAGUAACGGCGAGUGAAGCGGGAAGAGCUCAAAUUUGAAAUCUUCAAGGUUUUACCUUGACGAAUUGUAGUUUAGAGAAGUGUUUUCUGUUGGAGUUUUGGUAAAAGUUCUUUGGAAUAGGACAUCAUAGAGGGUGAGAAUCCCGUAUUUGACCAUUAUUUCCAGCUGUGUGAUACACUUUCAAAGAGUCGGAUUGUUUGGGAAUGCAGUCCAAAAUGGGUGGUAAAUUUCAUCUAAAGCUAAAUAUUGGCGAGAGACCGAUAGCGAACAAGUACCGUGAGGGAAAGAUGAAAAGAACUUUGAAAAGAGAGUUAAACAGUACGUGAAAUUGUCAAAAGGGAAGCGUUUGACACCAGUGUUGUUUUCUCGAAAAUCAAUUAAAAAUGAUGGGAUUUUGUGUUGUAUUGACUUUAUCAGCUUUCUGCACUUUUUUCUUAUCUUUUUUAAUGCACUUUUCGUUUAACAAGUCAACAUCAAUUUCUUUUGUUGUAAAAGAGUCAUUGGAAGGUGGCUUUUUCUUCGGAAAAAGUGUUUAUAGCCUUUGACUUCUGCAAUCGGAGAGAUUGAGGUCUGCAGCGUAGAUCCUUCGGGGUUAGAUACAUUUGCUGCUAAGUUAUAGUUCUUUCAUAGACAACUUGUUGACUAUAAUUCAAUCCUUGUAACUUACUCGCUUAUGCUAUUUUACCUACGCUUAGGAUGUUGAUGUGAUACUGCGAGC